AAAGGCUUAGUUAAAAAAUUAACAUUAACUUGUCAAAUUAAAAUUGCAUUAAAAAGCAGCCUUUA
RNAcentral lists this transfer RNA (65 nucleotides) under Odontolabis cuvera fallaciosa. RNAcentral describes it as "tRNA-Asp". The record is from RNAcentral. Lineage: Eukaryota; Metazoa; Arthropoda; Insecta; Coleoptera; Lucanidae.